GUGCUUGAUUCAGCAGGAUGUUUACUAAAAUUGGACCGAUACAAAGAAGAUUAACAUGGUCCCUGCAAGGAUGACAUGCAAAUUCACGAAGCAUUCCAUAUUUUA
Small nuclear RNA from Nycticebus coucang (slow loris), 105 nucleotides. The record is from RefSeq and is a predicted model, not a curated record. Lineage: Eukaryota; Metazoa; Chordata; Mammalia; Primates; Lorisidae.